RNAcentral lists this ribosomal RNA (468 nucleotides) under uncultured bacterium. RNAcentral describes it as "partial 16S ribosomal RNA". It matches the Rfam family "Bacterial small subunit ribosomal RNA", at positions 28 to 507 of the family's 1533-position model. The record is from RNAcentral.
GACGAACGCUGGCGGCGUGCUUAACACAUGCAAGUCGAACGGCAAGGCCCUGCUUUUGUGGGGUGCCCGAGUGGCGAACGGGUGAGUAACACGUGUGUAACCUGCCCUUGACUUUGGGAUAACUUCAGGAGACUGGGGCUAAUACCGGAUAGGAGCUCCUGCUGCUUGGUGGGGGUUGGAAAGUUUCGGCUGGUGGGGAUGGACUCGCGGCUUAUCAGCUUGUUGGUGGGGUAGUGGCUUACCAAGGCUUUGACGGGUAGCCGGCCUGAGAGGGUGACCGGCCACAUUGGGACUGAGAUACGGCCCAGACUCGUACGGGAGGCAGCGGUGGGGAAUAUUGCACAAUGGGCGGAAGCCUGAUGCAGCAACGCCGCGUGCGGGAUGACGGCCUUCGGGUUGUAAACCGCUUUCGCCUGUGACGAAGCGUGAGUGACGGUAAUGGGUAAAGAAGCACCGGCUAACUACGUG